This 77-nucleotide transfer RNA is filed under the name Pararhodospirillum oryzae. Its description in RNAcentral is "tRNA-Arg". It matches the Rfam family "tRNA". Rfam says of the family: Transfer RNA (tRNA) molecules are approximately 80 nucleotides in length. Their secondary structure includes four short double-helical elements and three loops (D, anti-codon, and T loops). The record is from RNAcentral. Lineage: Bacteria; Pseudomonadati; Pseudomonadota; Alphaproteobacteria; Rhodospirillales; Rhodospirillaceae.
GCGCCCUUAGCUCAGUUGGAUAGAGCAACGGCCUUCUAAGCCGUGGGUCGGGGGUUCGAAUCCCUCAGGGCGCGCCA